This 467-nucleotide ribosomal RNA is filed under the name uncultured bacterium. RNAcentral's name for it is "bacterial SSU rRNA". It matches the Rfam family "Bacterial small subunit ribosomal RNA", at positions 330 to 794 of the family's 1533-position model. The record is from RNAcentral.
UCCAGACUCCUACGGGAGGCAGCAGUGAGGAAUAUUGGUCAAUGGUCGUAAGACUGAACCAGCCAAGUAGCGUGCAGGAUGACGGCCCUAUGGGUUGUAAACUGCUUUUAUGCGGGGAUAAAAUGCGUCACGUGUGAUGUUUUGUAGGUACCGCAUGAAUAAGGACCGGCUAAUUCCGUGCCAGCAGCCGCGGUAAUACGGAAGGUCCGGGCGUUAUCCGGAUUUAUUGGGUUUAAAGGGAGCGUAGGCCGCAUGUUAAGCGUGCCGUGAAAUGCCGUGGCUCAACCAUGGCACUGCGGCGCGAACUGGCUUGCUUGAGUGCGCGGAACGUAUGCGGAAUUCGUGGUGUAGCGGUGAAAUGCUUAGAUAUCACGCAGAACUCCGAUUGCGAAGGCAGCAUACCGGCGCUCAACUGACGCUCAUGCACGAAAGUGUGGGUAUCGAACAGGAUUAGAUACCCUGGUAGG